CUAUCUUUUCUUUCAUUCUCCUCUCACUUUUCUACCUGGAUCUUCCACAUUGCAGGUAGACUACAAGUACAGGAUUUCUUCCAGAGUUCCUCCAUUCUGUCGCUCUAAGGUUCUUUACUACGCAGAAUCGAAUUCUCAUUAUUUCUUUCAGAGACAACAAGUCUAAUCUAAUCCAUUCCUGAACUAUAAAUAUGUAGUGCGUAUAUAUAUAUAUAUAUACAUAUGUAUAUAUAUACAUCAAUUUCUUAACCCGAUUGUUUAACAUUCUUUUUUCAAUACGCACUUCCUUCUUAAUUAACCUACCAAACGAUCGUUCCAGCCUUAUGAGUCUCCCACGCGCACCCAUUAAAUCGCUACGAUAUUCUCACCUAUGAAACGAAGGGCCCCGACUGACUUCGUGCAGUGAAAAGCGAUCGCUAUCCAUUACAUAGCCAUAUUGUACAUAACCGCUUAUUGACUCAAGAACAUUGGUACCGCGUUAUUUGCUACUAGGAGAUUAACCAUCCGCGGCUGAUAGUUUUAGUUAUAUCCUCUGUGUAUCCACCCUAAGACUCUAAUGAAGGCAGAUCUUAUUACCAAUGGAGUUAAAAACAAGCGGCCAUCAUGGAAAAAUUCGUCUUGUGUCUUAUCUGCGCAGGAGAUGAACCUCUGCUGGAUCAUGGAUAUCUAUAAACUUGCUGCAUCACAGGCGGACGGAAAUAUACACCGAAGGAAUUGAUUGAGCAUAUAUUUAUUAUGUUGUUAUGGCAUUCAGCCGACCUUGAGGAGCUAUUCAACAUUUUUUUUUUAAUACAAACAAUUAAUAAAUCAGAGAAGCAUCCUACUUCGUCAUGACUUUUAUUUAAAGACAUACGUCAUUAUGAUUAGAGUAGUACAUUUUGAAAAGGAAUACUUAACAAUGCCGAAAUCAGUGCGAAGCCUCGAAUUAAAUUACAAUUAGCAGACGGCUGUUGUCUGAAAUUAAUACUACGUCAGUCAGUUACUCGACGCGAGGGUCCGCGCGUGUGGUAGGCACUCUUCUGGUUCAGCUAGUGUAUAAUUCGACAGAGAAGGAUUGAUAAUCAAGAAAGAGACGGAGAAAAUAUAUGAAAAAACGAAAGACUGCGCCAGUGUCUGCUAGAAAAACUGAGAAGAUAAAAUAAAUGUGCUUCGAAUUCUCUCGCUACGACAUAACAAUAUUCCGAGGCUGCUUAUCACGAUGCACUGGAAGUGCUACGAAAAAUCUUGUAUCUCUGUCAGAUUCAUUAUCGAAAAAGGAGACACGAUCGUGUACAGUGCUUACAGUAGUUGAAGUAGAUGCCUAAAGCACAGCUUGAGUAAUGUUUUGAUCUACGUAGUACGAAUUAAUUCUAAUACGUAAUUUUCAUACCGUUUGUCUUAUAACUGUCUGAUAUGUUAAGUAUAACGAAGAGAGUACGUCAAAUUUGAAAUUAUCCAACAGGCGAGUGUUUUCAAGAAAUUAUUAUCCAUACGCAGUGCAUUAAUGUAUCCAUACGAAAUAUUCGAAACGCCGAGAAUGCCAGGAAUUCGAAAACAGUUAGUGGAAUCUUAAUGACGGGGGUUCCUCGCCUUAUCAGUGAAAAACAUUAUGUUUCCAAGAUCUGACAUAAGGAUUUCGUAAUUAAAACUCAGUAGCGUUAUCCCAAUGUAUAUCAGCACUUAGAAACCUUCCAGGAAGAGGAGAAAGAUUACGUAUGAAUUUUAGUUGAAAGAGAACGAGGCUCUUGCACUUUUAUUAUGUUUAGCUUACAAAGUCACACGCGUCACGUCAUAGAGUUUCAUAUGAAAAUACCGAUAACGAACAUAUCCACGUUAUAACUUUGUAUAAUACUCCUCAAGAAGGCAUUUCAAUCCUCAAAACCUCAUUCAGUCUCACCAGUACGAAUUAGUGAUACGGAUAAAUAUUUCUACAGCUCACAAAAUCAUCAACAAUGUACAAUGAUGCAAGAGAACAAAUAAAUAAGAUAUCUGAAUGUUAACGAACAUACAAUUUAAACCAUCACCCACGAGAUAACUGAAUUAUGUUCGUUUAACGUACUCAAGACUGUCGCACUUAAUCCUUAUAUUUCUUUUCAACGCCUAAAUUAUCAGUAUACAUAGUAACAAGUGGCGCGUAUGUACAUUCCAUGGGAAUAUAAAAAUUAUUUCUAUCCAAUUGGCUACAGUAAAUUACCAUCUCCUCUUAUUAAACAUCCAUUAAAUUUAACAUAACUCCCAAGGAGGAAUCGCAUAACUAUAUUUGUCAAACAAGUUGGCACUAUUGAAUUCUUCUUCACACGUUUGUAAGAAAACUUACAAUUAGUAAAAUCCAUUGCGUGAGUUCUCCGUCGGCCAGUUACGAAGUUGUGGCGUGAGAAAUUAUCACGUGACUUUAUAUCCCAUAUUAUGUAUACGUAUAUAUAUAUAUGCAGGGUGACAAGAAAUUAUUAAAAAAAAACUUCCAGAAGAGGAGAACGACCCAGGAUCAGAACGAAGCACUGGUUGUAGAGGAAGAGGAAAGAUCGUGUACUAUACGUAUAUGGACGUAUAUCAAAUUGCGUGGCUGCUACCAGAGGAUAUGAGUAUGCUGCAGAAGAAUUUCUACACUCAUUAAGGAAUCCGCGUGACCCCGGAUUGACGCCAGGUGACAAAACUAUUGUAAGAC
Cephus cinctus (wheat stem sawfly) is the source of this 2644-nucleotide long non-coding RNA. RefSeq lists it as uncharacterized. NCBI's taxonomy places the organism in Eukaryota, Metazoa, Arthropoda, Insecta, Hymenoptera, Cephidae. The record is from RefSeq and is a predicted model, not a curated record. The transcript is spliced from 6 exons.